UACGGGGGGGGCAAGCGUUGUUCGGAAUUACUGGGCGUAAAGGGCGCGUAGGCGGCCUGCUAAGUCGGAUGUGAAAUCCCUCGGCUCAACCGAGGAACUGCAUCCGAUACUGGCGGGCUGGAAUCCGGGAGAGGGAUGUGGAAUUCCAGGUGUAGCGGUGAAAUGCGUAGAUAUCUGGAGGAACACCGGUGGCGAAGGCGGCAUCCUGGACCGGUAUUGACGCUGAGGCGCGAAAGCUAGGGGAGCAAACGGG
RNAcentral lists this ribosomal RNA (253 nucleotides) under uncultured bacterium. RNAcentral describes it as "partial 16S ribosomal RNA". It matches the Rfam family "Bacterial small subunit ribosomal RNA", at positions 524 to 776 of the family's 1533-position model. RNAcentral also lists the same sequence under 1 other name. The record is from RNAcentral.